GGACAGCCUAGCGGUUGGGGCUCUUGACUCACCAGUCAAAAGGUUGUGGGUUCAAAUCCCAACACUCACAGUCCA
Merluccius polli (Benguela hake) is the source of this 75-nucleotide non-coding RNA. The record is from the annotation of a GenBank genome assembly. Lineage: Eukaryota; Metazoa; Chordata; Actinopteri; Gadiformes; Merlucciidae.